This 382-nucleotide ribosomal RNA is filed under the name uncultured eukaryote. Its description in RNAcentral is "partial 18S ribosomal RNA". It matches the Rfam family "Eukaryotic small subunit ribosomal RNA", at positions 592 to 975 of the family's 1831-position model. The record is from RNAcentral.
CAAUAGCGUAUAUUAAAGUUGUUGCAGUUAAAAAGCUCGUAGUUGGAUUUCUGGUGGGAGCGAUCGGUCUGGCGCUUAGCGCGAGUACUUGCAUCGUCUCCGGCCAUCCUUGGGGAGAGUCUGUCUGGCAUUAGGUUGUCGGGCAGAGGAUCCUCAUCGUUUACUGUGAAAAAAUUAGAGUGUUCAAAGCAGGCUUAUGCCGUUGAAUAUAUUAGCAUGGAAUAAUAAGAUAGGACUUUGGUACUAUUUUGUUGGUUUGCGCACCAAAGUAAUGAUUAAUAGGGACAGUUGGGGGUAUUCGUAUUCCGUUGUCAGAGGUGAAAUUCUUGGAUUUACGGAAGACGAACAUCUGCGAAAGCAUUUGCCAAGGAUGUUUUCAUUG